This 634-nucleotide long non-coding RNA is filed under the name Homo sapiens (human). Its description in RNAcentral is "non-protein coding lnc-CFAP100-2:8". Lineage: Eukaryota; Metazoa; Chordata; Mammalia; Primates; Hominidae. The record is from RNAcentral.
GGCCUCGGGUUCUCCUUUGCCAAGAUCCCUCCGCGGCCACUGCCUUCAGAGAAGGUGACAGAGGGCCAUGUCUGAAACAUUCUCCCACAACCAGGAACCCUCAGCAGCCGCUGAAGAGGAAAGGCAGUUAAAUGGAAAGACUUCUGAGCAAGUGGAGGAAAAGUCACGUGUGACCUAGGGAGGGGCUCCCACAGGAAGGGGCAAUGCCCUUGCCCUGUUCACCUAGCCUCCAGGUGGCUUCCCACUUGAAAUUUCAGAGGAUGGCAGAAACCUACUUACAAGGAAAUGAAAGAGGGCACAGCAACCUUAAGACCAGAGCAGCCCACGAUAUUUUUUAAUGAGGGCAAAAAUAGAAGACUUGCAAAAGACCCCUGAAAAUAAUGCCUGGAAGCUGCGAAACAUCAGACUGACACCGCACAAAAGAGGUCCAGCUGAGCAGGAGAAAAGCUUGAGAAGCAUCCAGAACAAUGUAGGUGGAGAGGCUAAGAAGAAAGAGGAGCCCACAUGGAAUGAAUAACCAAGGUCGGGACAGAGGAAGGUUCGCCAGAACUGGGAGGGCUGAAAUUGGACAUUGAGAUAAAUUAAAGAGUGUUCUUUAAAACUGUCAAGACUUUGGCUGGUCAAUAAGUAAACU